Synchiropus splendidus (mandarinfish) is the source of this 1142-nucleotide long non-coding RNA. RefSeq lists it as uncharacterized. The transcript is spliced from 4 exons. Lineage: Eukaryota; Metazoa; Chordata; Actinopteri; Syngnathiformes; Callionymidae. The record is from RefSeq and is a predicted model, not a curated record.
UAUAGCAAAAAGCACUCAAUCGCCUUUCACGUCCGUUGACAGUGCGGACUCUGGUCGUGACGAAGUGCACGUCCUUUUUGCAGACUUCGCAGCAUGCUACUUGAAGCUUUGGACCGCGACAGGAAUUACGUUUGCUUCCGACCGGCCGGCAAACUCUUAUCCACGUUCUUCAGUCAAGGGCGGGACAUGUAGAUGCAGCGUGGGAGAGAAAAUAGUAUCGACCAUCGACAACCUGGAUGUGAAUAAAUUGGUGACUCGUCUCGCCUGACCUCAGGUACCACGCACACACACACACACGCACACACUAUCACACUGCGUGUUAAUGUAUCACCCAGGCGUCCACGUAGAGCUCGUGCGCUCCCGCACCCGUGGUUUCACCUGUCAGACUCGGGGAGGAGGAACUCUGGUCUCACUGGUGCAGCCGGACCUGCAGCAUUCCUGCACAAACACGCCGCCGCCCGAGGCUGUACACACUCCAGAGCGAUCAGUUUGUCGAGGAUCAGAGAUGUUUGACGUGACAGUCUUGGGAGUUGAGCGCUUCACGAUGUUCACCAUGCUUGGAAACUAGGUGGUGAGCUGUAAGAGAGGUGUCAGGAACAGGAGAAUCAACAGCAUCAGUAGGCGAGCCGUCACCAUGACGAUGCAGACUGGAGCUGAACUUACGGGGACCGCCCUGGCAGUCACGGUGUUGUCUCUGCUCAACCUGUUGCUGCUGCUGCUGCUGUGUGUGAUCAGGAAAAAAAGGCGGCUGGAAGGGACAUACAGACCCAGCGCGGAGGAGAAGAAGCAGGUGGUAGCAGCGGGAACGGACAAGCCUAGUCUCCCGUUACCUUUACCCAAAGAAGAGCGCCUGAUAUGAUCUCCUGUUAUUUUAUACUCAAAUUAUAGGCGCCACUUUUAACGACUGAGGACACAAAUAAAGUAUUACCCAUCUUUCUGCAUUAAAAUGGGAAGAUGUUUUUUUUUUUUUUUUAUUCAAGUCUUGGUGGCCUUAAGAUGAAGGACUUUGUGUGUGUGUGUGUGUGUGUGUGUGUGUGUGUACUGCUAUGUAUUUAUAAGACAAACUAUUUUUGGAGUUAUGUGAAGGAAGGUUUUGUAUCAAAAUGUCUAUAUGCAUAAAAGUAUUUGUAAAUAAAUUGAGU